This 253-nucleotide ribosomal RNA is filed under the name uncultured bacterium. RNAcentral's name for it is "partial 16S ribosomal RNA". It matches the Rfam family "Bacterial small subunit ribosomal RNA", at positions 524 to 776 of the family's 1533-position model. The record is from RNAcentral.
UACGAAGGGGGCUAGCGUUGCUCGGAAUUACUGGGCGUAAAGCGCACGUAGGCGGAUUGUUAAGUCGAGGGUGAAAUCCUGGAGCUCAACUCCAGAACUGCCUUCGAUACUGGCGAUCUCGAGUUCGGGAGAGGUGAGUGGAACUGCGAGUGUAGAGGUGAAAUUCGUAGAUAUUCGCAAGAACACCAGUGGCGAAGGCGGCUCACUGGCCCGAUACUGACGCUGAGGUGCGAAAGCGUGGGGAGCGAACCGG